CGUUUUUGUGUUAUUCGCUGAAUGCCCAUCUUGGCCUAGUGAUUGUCAAACAGAACGCACAUUGAAGACCAGGCAUCUGCUCUCACUCCACAAUGUUAUGUCCAUUAUAUCCAGG
RNAcentral lists this small nucleolar RNA (115 nucleotides) under Drosophila persimilis. RNAcentral's name for it is "snoRNA:GL27897". It matches the Rfam family "Small nucleolar RNA psi18S-1377", at positions 2 to 108 of the family's 140-position model. Rfam says of the family: psi18S-1377 is a member of the H/ACA class of snoRNA. Lineage: Eukaryota; Metazoa; Arthropoda; Insecta; Diptera; Drosophilidae. The record is from RNAcentral.